This 952-nucleotide long non-coding RNA is filed under the name Androctonus crassicauda. Lineage: Eukaryota; Metazoa; Arthropoda; Arachnida; Scorpiones; Buthidae. The record is from RNAcentral.
AUUUAUGGAUUUUUUGUAUACUAUAAUGCUUUGAUUUUCCUGUCAUUAAUCAAUUAGACUAUAAAUUUAUUUUUUCAAAAUAUAAGUUUAAUAAUAGAAUUACAUAUGCGCUGUAUUUCAAAUGUUAGGUUUGAUGUAUGAUGAUGAUUUGAUUCAGGAAAUCAAAAAUCGAAAUUUAUAUUCAUUCAUUUAGAAGGAAAAGUAUUUGAUUUUGGAAAAGUUGUUUCAUAAUUUCUCUAAUUCACUGUGUCCUCAUUUAAUUUCGCCUCAUUUAACACAUUUUAUUACGUGGCAAGCAAAAAUAAAUUUAAAAAUUUAAAGAUACUUGUUCACGUGAUUAGUCCGUAAAUUCGUAUCUGGUGGAUUUCGUGAACUGCUAUGGGUUCGCAGGAAACGAUGAAUAUAUUCUCAGAGAUUAAGAAAACUAUUAUUGGUUCUGUACAAGUUUUUCCAAACAUUUUUGUGGAAAUAUGCAUUUCAAUUAUAAAAUCGUUGUCACCUUUGUUUCAAUUCCAAAUAACCUGCGAGCUUGGUUGUUUGGAAUUUUACGAUAGUAACAUUACAGAUUUACAUCGAUAUUGAAAUAUUACAAAAUUUUUUAUAAAAGAAUACAAGAAUAACCUGCCCGUUGAUCUGUCUUUAUAAGAACUUAGAUUCAUAUUUAUAUGGAACUCAAAAAAUAUUAGGCUCUCUUCAUACUGCCAACGACAAUGACCAAAGACUACUUAUUUUCACUUAUCGCUUGGCUGUUCAUAUCGGUUCGAAGACGACUUCGAUAAUUUAUGUCGUAGUCGUCUUCGAAUAGAACGUUUGUACAUGCUCGAUAUUUAUAUCGAACAUGUGCGAACGUUUGUUUUAAUCAUUAAUGGUUUUGAUAGUUAGAAAAUAUAGAUCUGCUUGUACUAACGUUAGUCCUUCGACAAAAAAAAUUAUUACAUUAUUAAUAAAUCCC